This 497-nucleotide ribosomal RNA is filed under the name uncultured bacterium. RNAcentral's name for it is "partial 16S ribosomal RNA". It matches the Rfam family "Bacterial small subunit ribosomal RNA", at positions 28 to 507 of the family's 1533-position model. The record is from RNAcentral.
GAUGAACGCUGGCGGCGUGCCUAAUACAUGCAAGUCGAGCGAACAGACGAGGAGCUUGCUCCUCUGACGUUAGCGGCGGACGGGUGAGUAACACGUGGAUAACCUACCUAUAAGACUGGGAUAACUUCGGGAAACCGGAGCUAAUACCGGAUAAUAUAUUGAACCGCAUGGUUCAAUAGUGAAAGACGGUUUUGCUGUCACUUAUAGAUGGAUCCGCGCCGCAUUAGCUAGUUGGUAAGGUAACGGCUUACCAAGGCAACGAUGCGUAGCCGACCUGAGAGGGUGAUCGGCCACACUGGAACUGAGACACGGUCCAGACUCCUACGGGCGGCAGCAGUAGGGAAUCUUCCGCAAUGGGCGAAAGCCUGACGGAGCAACGCCGCGUGAGUGAUGAAGGUCUUCGGAUCGUAAAACUCUGUCAUUAGGGAAGAACAAAUGUGUAAGUAACUAUGCACGUCUUGACGGUACCUAAUCAGAAAGCCACGGCUAACUACGUG